This 73-nucleotide transfer RNA is filed under the name Anaerolineales bacterium. Its description in RNAcentral is "tRNA-Arg". It matches the Rfam family "tRNA". From Rfam's summary of the family: Transfer RNA (tRNA) molecules are approximately 80 nucleotides in length. Their secondary structure includes four short double-helical elements and three loops (D, anti-codon, and T loops). Further hydrogen bonds mediate the characteristic L-shaped molecular structure. tRNAs have two regions of fundamental functional importance: the anti-codon, which is responsible for specific mRNA codon recognition, and the 3' end, to which the tRNAs corresponding amino acid is attached (by aminoacyl-tRNA synthetases). tRNAs cope with the degeneracy of the genetic code in two manners: having more than one tRNA (with a specific anti-codon) for a particular amino acid; and 'wobble' base-pairing, i.e. permitting non-standard base-pairing at the 3rd anti-codon position. The record is from RNAcentral. Lineage: Bacteria; Bacillati; Chloroflexota; Anaerolineae; Anaerolineales. RNAcentral also lists the same sequence under 1 other name.
GACCAUGUAGCUCAGUGGAUAGAGCGCUGCCCUGCGGAGGCAGAGGACGGAGGUUCGAAUCCUCCCAUGGUCG